GACGAACGCUGGCGGCGUGCUUAACACAUGCAAGUCGAGCGGUAAGGCCUUUCGGGGUACACGAGCGGCGAACGGGUGAGUAACACGUGGGUGACCUGCCUUUAGCUUCGGGAUAAGCCUGGGAAACCGGGUCUAAUACCGGAUAUGACUCCAUGACGCAUGUUGUGGGGUGGAAAGCCUUGUGCGGCUGAGGAUGGGCCCGCGGCCUAUCAGCUUGUUGGUGGGGUGAUGGCCACCAAGGCGACGACGGGUAGCCGGCCUGAGAGGGCGACCGGCCACACUGGGACUGGGACACGGCCCAGACUCCUACGGGAGGCAGCAGUGGGGAAUCUUGCGCAAUGGGCGAAAGCCUGACGCAGCGACGCCGCGUGA
RNAcentral lists this ribosomal RNA (372 nucleotides) under uncultured bacterium. RNAcentral's name for it is "bacterial SSU rRNA". It matches the Rfam family "Bacterial small subunit ribosomal RNA", at positions 28 to 404 of the family's 1533-position model. The record is from RNAcentral.